RNAcentral lists this unclassified non-coding RNA (389 nucleotides) under Athalia rosae (coleseed sawfly). Its description in RNAcentral is "misc RNA ENSAEAG00005008677.1". The record is from RNAcentral. Lineage: Eukaryota; Metazoa; Arthropoda; Insecta; Hymenoptera; Athaliidae.
UUAUUCUUUAUUUGCAGGUACGUUAAGUGAUUCAUGAUGGAGGCUGUGGCGUCGAUGCUCGUUCUCAGUACUGGCGAUGUGCCCCGUUUAAUGGAUCACACUGGAUUUACUGCCUCGUGUUGUACGAUAUUUCAAUAAAAUGGAGAACGAGCGCACUUACGUCCUUACCGAUCAAUUGUCUUCCCCAGAGUAUCUUUACUUGUCCUCAUCCGGUCAAGGAUUACCUUAAACCGCUAGAGUCAUAUCUAAAUCUAUAGCUCACAUUUGACCAACGUGACAACGCGCGUCUUAUUUAAAUACAUUUCAUACUUUCGAUACACGGUAAGGCUCUAUCCCAAAAUAGCGGAAAUAUAAAAGAUAAUCAAAAGAUACUGCAAAGAUAUGCAACA